GCAUCACUCGCUUAAGAAAAAGGCAAGUUGCAUGCCAGUGAUGGGCAUGGAGAGCUAAGGCAGCGGCCUUCCUGGACAAAGAAUGCAGGCGAAGACCCUGUGCAUAGAGACCAUGGUUUGCCAGUUUUCUGUGUCUUCGGGCAUCCUGCCCAAGCAACUUCUGAAUAUGCUUUACAAGGGUUGUGUCCAUGUCUCCAGCCUCACUUUGUGCCAACUGCUUUCAGAAGUCAAGCCCCUCUGGACCCAGUUCACAGGUAUAAAAAUUCCAUUUCUUGGGUCUCCUCCACACUUACUGCACCUGUAAGCCCUGCAGAGGGGAAGUAAGGUUGACCCCAAGCAUCAUGCCAGACUUCUCAAGGUUGAUGGCUACGAGAAGUCCCCUAUGAAUUCCACGGCCUGAAAAGGGGCUCCAGGCACCUGCAGAGGGACGGGGCUUCUGAGGGGUGGAAACACCUGCUGUGGGUCGGGCUGGAGGAAAGUUCUCAACAGCUCAACACCUUUGGUUAAAACUUUAUGAUCUUCUGGGGCCCCUGGGUGGCUGUCAGUUGAUAGUCCGACUCUUGGUUUUGGCUCAGGUUAUGAUCCCAGGGUCAUGAGAUUGAGCCCCAAGUCUGGCUGCACGCUGAGCAUGCAGCCUGCUUAAGAUUCUUUCUCUCCUUCUCCCUGCCCCUCCCCCUUCCCUCUCUAAAACAAAAACAAAAACAUUUAUGAUCUUUUAAGGUCGUGGUCUUCUGCCGCCUUUUCCAAGAAGCAUCCAGCAUCUACUUUCCAUGCCUGCCUUUCCUUCCCUGAGCUCCAAGAGUCUUUGCUCAGGUGCACUUGCUGGCGUUUGUCUAACUCUGCUGCACCGUGUGGUCAGACUUUUCUGGACAGCCAGCUACUUACGACAGGGACUACGCUCUUCGUGCAAACUGCCUUUUCAUUCACUCACUGAGCGUGUGUGUGUGUGUGUGUGUGCAGGGUUACAUU
RNAcentral lists this long non-coding RNA (969 nucleotides) under Ailuropoda melanoleuca (giant panda). RNAcentral's name for it is "lncRNA (ENSAMEG00000027245.1)". The record is from RNAcentral. Lineage: Eukaryota; Metazoa; Chordata; Mammalia; Carnivora; Ursidae.